CUUACCAUGCAGUCGAACGGCAGCACGGACUUCGGUCUGGUGGCGAGUGGCGAACGGGUGAAUAAUGUAUCGGAACGUGCCCAUUAACGGGGGAUAGCUACGCGAAAGCGGAACUAAUACCGCAUACGCCCUACGGGGGAAAGCAGGGGAUCGUGGGACCUUGCACUAUUGGAGCGGCCGAUAUCGGAUUGUCUAGUUGGUGGGGUAACGGCUCACCAAGGCGACGAUCCGUAGCUGGUUUGAGAGGACGACCAGCCACACUGGGACUGAGACACGGCCCAAACUCCUACAGGAGGCAGCAGUGGGGAAUUUUGGACUAUGGGGGAAACCCUGAUCCACCCAUCCCGCGUGUGCGAUGAAGGCCUUCGGGUUGUAAAGCACUUUUGGCCUGAAAGAAACGUCAUGGGUUAAUACCCCGUGAAACUGACGGUACCUGCAGAAUAAGCACCGGCUAACUACGUGCCUUCAGCCGCGGUAAUACGUAAGGUGCAAGGGUUAAUCGGAAUUACUGGGCGUAUAGCGUGCGCACGCGGUUCGGAAAGAAAGAUGUGAAAUCCCAGAGCUUAACUUUGGAACUGCAUUUUUAACUACCGGGCUGGAGUGUGUCAGAUGGGAGGUGGAAUUCCGCGUGUAGCAGUGAAAUGCGUAGAUAUGCGGAGGAACACCGAUGGCAUAAAGCAGCCUCCUGGGAUAACACUGACGCUCAUGCACGAAAGCGUGGAGAGCAAACAGGAUCAGAUACUGUCAUAGUCCACGCUCUAAACGAGGUCUAACAGAUCAUGUCGCCUCCCGGGCUGGGUAGAGCAGCUCAGGAGUGAAGUUGACGGCCUGGGGAGUACGGUCGCAAGACUAAAAGUCAUUCGAGAUGACGCGGACCCGCACAAGCGUUGGAGGAUUUGGAUUAAUUAGAUGAAAUGACACAACCCUUACGUGCCCUCGACAUAUCUGGAAUGAGGAAGAGAUUUGCCAGUGCUCGCAAGAGAACGGGAACACCGGGGGUGCAUGGCUGUCGUCAGGUCGGAUGGUGAGAUGAUGGGUUAAGUCCCGCAAAGAGCGCACCCCUUGUCAUUAGUUAAUCCGAAAGGGCAUUUUAAUGAGACUGCCGGUGACAAACGGGAGGAAGGUGGGGAUGACGUCAAGUCCUCAUGCCCCUUAUGGGUAGGGCUUCACACGUCAUACAAUGGUAGUGACAGAGGGUUGCCAACCCGUGAGGGGGAGCCAAUCCCAGAAACCCGAUCGUAGUCCGGAUUGGCAUUUUGCAUCUUUAUUGCGGGACGUCGGAAUCACUAGUAACGCCGGAUCAUUACGAUGAGGGGAAUCCCUUCCCGGGUUUCGUACACACCGCCCGUCACGCCAUGGGAUUGGGUUUUACCAGAAGUAGUUAGCCUAACCGCAAGGGGGGCGAUUACCACGGUAGGAUUCAUGACUGGGGUGAAGUCGUAACAACGUAG
This 1451-nucleotide ribosomal RNA is filed under the name Achromobacter insuavis. Its description in RNAcentral is "partial 16S ribosomal RNA". It matches the Rfam family "Bacterial small subunit ribosomal RNA". Lineage: Bacteria; Pseudomonadati; Pseudomonadota; Betaproteobacteria; Burkholderiales; Alcaligenaceae. The record is from RNAcentral.